This 468-nucleotide ribosomal RNA is filed under the name uncultured bacterium. Its description in RNAcentral is "partial 16S ribosomal RNA". It matches the Rfam family "Bacterial small subunit ribosomal RNA", at positions 28 to 507 of the family's 1533-position model. The record is from RNAcentral.
GACGAACGCUGGCGGCGUGCUUAACACAUGCAAGUCGAACGGAAAGGCCCUGCUGUUGUGGGGUGCUCGAGUGGUGAACGGGGGAGAUACACGUGAGUAACCUGCCCUAGACUUUGGGACAACUUCAGGAACCUGGGGCUAAUACCGGAUAGGAGCUCCUGCUGCAUGGGGGGGGUUGGCAAGGUUCGGCGGAUGGGGAUGGACUCGCGGCUUCUCAGCUGGCGGGUGGGGGCGUGGCUUAGCGAGGCAUCGGCGGGUAGCCGGCCUGGGAGGGUGACCGGCCCCAUUGGGACUGAGGUACGGCCCAGCCCCCAACGGGAGGCAGCGGUGGGGUAUAUUGCACUAUGGGCGGAACCCUGACGCAACACCGCCGCGUGGCGGAUGACGGCCUUGCGGUUGUGAACCGCUUUCGCCUGUGACGAAGCGAUAGUGACGGUAACGGGUAAAGAAGCACCGGCUAACUACGUG